This 101-nucleotide small nuclear RNA is filed under the name Microtus ochrogaster (prairie vole). Lineage: Eukaryota; Metazoa; Chordata; Mammalia; Rodentia; Cricetidae. The record is from RNAcentral.
GACACAGGUUGGGUGUGAAAGGCCUCCUAACCCUACAGAGAAGAUUAGCAUGGCCCCUGAGCCGGAAGGACGAGCCAAUCUGUGAAGCGUUCCAUAUUUUU